This 815-nucleotide ribosomal RNA is filed under the name uncultured bacterium. RNAcentral describes it as "bacterial SSU rRNA". It matches the Rfam family "Bacterial small subunit ribosomal RNA", at positions 51 to 874 of the family's 1533-position model. The record is from RNAcentral.
ACACAUGCAAGUCGAGGGGUAUAGUAGCAAUACUAGAGACCGGCGCACGGGUGCGUAACGCGUAUGCAAUCUACCUUUUGCAGAGGGAUAGCCCAGAGAAAUUUGGAUUAAUACCUCAUAGUAUAACGACUCGGCAUCGAGAUGUUAUUAAAGUCACAACGGCAAAAGAUGAGCAUGCGUCCCAUUAGUUAGUUGGUAAGGUAACGGCUUACCAAGACUACGAUGGGUAGGGGUCCUGAGAGGGAGAUCCCCCACACUGGUACUGAGACACGGACCAGACUCCUACGGGAGGCAGCAGUGAGGAAUAUUGGACAAUGGGCGCAAGCCUGAUCCAGCCAUGCCGCGUGCAGGAUGACGGUCCUAUGGAUUGUAAACUGCUUUUGCACAGGAAGAAACAACGCUACGUGUAGCGUCUUGACGGUACUGUGAGAAUAAGGAUCGGCUAACUCCGUGCCAGCAGCCGCGGUAAUACGGAGGAUCCAAGCGUUAUCCGGAAUCAUUGGGUUUAAAGGGUCCGUAGGCGGUCUUAUAAGUCAGUGGUGAAAUCUCCCCGCUCAACGAUCAAACGGCCAUUGAUACUGUUAGACUUGAAUUACAAGGAAGUAACUAGAAUAUGUAGUGUAGCGGUGAAAUGCUUAGAUAUUACAUGGAAUACCAAUUGCGAAGGCAGGUUACUACUUGUGGAUUGACGCUGAUGGACGAAAGCGUGGGGAGCGAACAGGAUUAGAUACCCUGGUAGUCCACGCCGUAAACGAUGGAUACUAGCUGUUGGGCGCAAGCUCAGUGGCUAAGCGAAAGUGAUAAGUAUCCCACCU